AAAUAGUUUCAUAGAGUGGGCAUUGGUAACUCGACCAUUCAUCAAUAAACGAAAGAUACAAGGAGAAGAGGAGAGGCAAGAAGAGAAGAGAACAGAUGGCUAAACUUUUAUUCACUCCUAUUUUCUUUUCCAUCCUCGUUUUCUCAGCUCUACUGAUGAUAGAACCAAGCAUGGCUCAACCAAAAAAAUGUAACCUUUCCUUCACAAAUGAAAAGUGUAAUCCAGUAACAUGUCCGUUGAAGUGUGCAGCGGAGUACCAAGGUCGGGCUAAAGGAAGCUGCCAAAAGGAUAAUACGGUGCCGUAUCUGGUGUGCGUCUGCACUUGCCUUUGAUGCCUCUUGUUCCAAUUUCCAUUAAUAAAGCAGCAAAUAAAAUUAAACUAAUUUGAGGUGUCUUCCUUAUUAAUAUUAUCAUCGUUACAUGGUUAAAAUAUAUCGAAAUUUCUC
Long non-coding RNA from Malania oleifera, 446 nucleotides. RefSeq lists it as uncharacterized. NCBI's taxonomy places the organism in Eukaryota, Viridiplantae, Streptophyta, Magnoliopsida, Santalales, Ximeniaceae. The record is from RefSeq and is a predicted model, not a curated record. The transcript is spliced from 2 exons.